RNAcentral lists this transfer RNA (73 nucleotides) under Gemmatimonadota bacterium. RNAcentral describes it as "tRNA-Lys". It matches the Rfam family "tRNA". From Rfam's summary of the family: Transfer RNA (tRNA) molecules are approximately 80 nucleotides in length. The record is from RNAcentral. Lineage: Bacteria; Pseudomonadati; Gemmatimonadota.
GACCCGGUAGCUCAGUUGGUAGAGCAACGGACUUUUAAUCCGUAGGUCCCGGGUUCGAAACCCGGCCGGGUCA